ACAUAGCCCUGAUAACAGCGGCAUCCUUUUACUUUUUUCUUUAAAAAGUAAAAGAUAUAGCGAAUAGCGGGAAAUAGC
Molecule: small RNA, 78 nt
Filed under: Flavobacterium limicola
Lineage: Bacteria; Pseudomonadati; Bacteroidota; Flavobacteriia; Flavobacteriales; Flavobacteriaceae
Description: Flavo-1 RNA
Rfam family: Flavo-1 RNA
Source: RNAcentral